This 104-nucleotide microRNA precursor is filed under the name Podarcis lilfordi (Lilford's wall lizard). The record is from RNAcentral. Lineage: Eukaryota; Metazoa; Chordata; Lepidosauria; Squamata; Lacertidae.
UUGUUCACAAUACUGAGAGAUGCUAGUGAAGUUGUAGAUGGAUGUUAAUGAAGUUGUGGACAGGAUCUACAGCUUCACUAGCAUCUCUCAGUAUUGUGAACAAC